RNAcentral lists this long non-coding RNA (316 nucleotides) under Capsella rubella. RNAcentral's name for it is "long non-coding RNA (CRUB_LNC005041)". Lineage: Eukaryota; Viridiplantae; Streptophyta; Magnoliopsida; Brassicales; Brassicaceae. The record is from RNAcentral.
CUCUAAUCACAUACUUAGUAAAAAGAGAGAAUAUCGCAUAAACUUUCCAUCGACCUCUGACGAAUACCAAAUGAUGAUAAACAUUUCAAAUACUAAAUUACUAUAAAAUUGAAAAAAUAAUCGAUAUGAAAAAUAGAAUAACAAAAAAUAACAACAGUAAAAAGCCAACAAAACAAACAAUGCAAAACAAAAAAACAACGAAAAAUUAUAAUAUAACUAAAAAUAAAAUAAAAAUUUUAUAAACCUUCCGCGCGUAGCGCGGGUCAACAACUAGUUUAUAUAUAAAAAGUUAGCUUUGCUCUUUUUUCCUUCAGCC